GCGACCCCAGGUCAGACGGGAUCACCCGCUGAGUUUAAGCAUAUCAAUAAGCGGAGGA
This 58-nucleotide ribosomal RNA is filed under the name Oreocharis argyreia. Its description in RNAcentral is "partial 28S ribosomal RNA". The record is from RNAcentral. Lineage: Eukaryota; Viridiplantae; Streptophyta; Magnoliopsida; Lamiales; Gesneriaceae.